UACGUAGGGCGCAAGCGUUGCCCGGAAUUAUUGGGCGUAAAGAGCUCGUAGGCGGUUUGUCGCGUCUGGUGUGAAAACUCAAGGCUCAACCUUGAGCUUGCAUCGGGUACGGGCAGACUAGAGUGUGGUAGGGGUGACUGGAAUUCCUGGUGUAGCGGUGGAAUGCGCAGAUAUCAGGAGGAACACCGAUGGCGAAGGCAGGUCACUGGGCCACUACUGACGCUGAGGAGCGAAAGCAUGGGGAGCGAACAGG
RNAcentral lists this ribosomal RNA (253 nucleotides) under uncultured bacterium. RNAcentral describes it as "partial 16S ribosomal RNA". It matches the Rfam family "Bacterial small subunit ribosomal RNA", at positions 524 to 776 of the family's 1533-position model. The record is from RNAcentral.